UGGAGCAUGUGCUUUAAUUCGAGGCAACGCGAAGAACCUUACCUGGCCUUGACAUGGGAGCUCCGCCUUCGGCGGGUUAGCCCUGUGAAAGCAGGGUUAGUCCACACAGGUGCUGCAUGGCUGUCGUCAGCUCGUGUCGUGAGAUGUUGGGUUAAGUCCCGCAACGAGCGCAACCCUUGCGACUAGUUACCAACGGGUAAUGCCGGGGACUCUAGUUGGACUGCCGGUGAUAAACCGGAGGAAGGUGGGAUGACGUCAAGUCAUUAUGGCCCUUACGGCCAGGGCUAGACACGUGCUACAAUGGUCGGUACAAUGAGCUGCAAUACCGCGAGGUGGAGCCAAUCUCAAAAAGCCGGCCUCAGUACGGAUUGGAGUCUGCAACUCGACUCCAUGAAGUUGGAAUCGCUAGUAAUCGCGCAUCAGCAUGGCGCGGUGAAUACGUUCCCGGGAAUU
RNAcentral lists this ribosomal RNA (453 nucleotides) under uncultured bacterium. Its description in RNAcentral is "bacterial SSU rRNA". It matches the Rfam family "Bacterial small subunit ribosomal RNA", at positions 933 to 1378 of the family's 1533-position model. The record is from RNAcentral.